RNAcentral lists this ribosomal RNA (532 nucleotides) under uncultured Dekkera. Its description in RNAcentral is "eukaryotic LSU rRNA". It matches the Rfam family "Eukaryotic large subunit ribosomal RNA", at positions 138 to 672 of the family's 3401-position model. The record is from RNAcentral. Lineage: Eukaryota; Fungi; Ascomycota; Saccharomycetes; Saccharomycetales; Saccharomycetaceae.
CCGAGUUGUAAUUUGGAGACGGGACACUAGAGAGGAGGAAGGCGAUUAAGUGCCUUGGAACAGGCUGCCGUAGAGGGUGAGAGCCCCGUGAAUCGCUGGAGACCGAUCAAUUAGUGCCCGCCGAAGAGUCGAGUUGUUUGGGAAUGCAGCUCUAAGCGGGUGGUAUAUUCCAUCUAAGGCUAAAUAUUAGCGAGAGACCGAUAGCAAACAAGUACAGUGAUGGAAAGAUGAAAAGAACUUUGGAAAGAGAGUGAAAUAGUACGUGAAAUUGUUGAAAGGGAAGGGUAUUUGAUCCGACAUGGUGUUUAGCAGCGGCCCGUUCCUCGUGGAUGGGUGCACCUGGUUUACACUGGGCCAGCAUCGGUUCUGGGAGCCAUAUACGGGGUUCGUGAAUGUGGCCCUUCGAUUCUGUCGGAGGGUGUUAUAGCGCGCACAUCUUGUGGCUAUCCGGUACCGGCUACUGCGGUGACUUGUCACCAUAGAUGCUGGCUCAACGAUCAAAUACCACCCGUCUUGAACAGCGGACCAAAAA